UACGGAGGGGGCUAGCGUUAUUCGGAAUUACUGGGCGUAAAGCGCACGUAGGCGGAUUAGAAAGUCAGAGGUGAAAUCCCAGGGCUCAACCUUGGAACUGCCUUUGAAACUCCUGGUCUUGAGAUCGUGAGAGGUGAGUGGAAUUCCGAGUGUAGAGGUGAAAUUCGUAGAUAUUCGGAGGAACACCAGUGGCGAAGGCGGCUCACUGGCACGAUACUGACGCUGAGGUGCGAAAGCGUGGGGAGCAAACAGG
RNAcentral lists this ribosomal RNA (253 nucleotides) under uncultured bacterium. RNAcentral's name for it is "partial 16S ribosomal RNA". It matches the Rfam family "Bacterial small subunit ribosomal RNA", at positions 524 to 776 of the family's 1533-position model. The record is from RNAcentral.